This 28-nucleotide small RNA is filed under the name Bombyx mori (domestic silkworm). RNAcentral describes it as "ovarian small RNA-38133". The record is from RNAcentral. Lineage: Eukaryota; Metazoa; Arthropoda; Insecta; Lepidoptera; Bombycidae.
UUGUCGUUAGCGUGGCAUACGAUGGAAG